UGCUCAGCAACUCCUAUCCCUAGCUCUUCACGGUACUGGCCGGAUUACGAGCAACCUUAGGGAAACCAACCCCGGUGGGAGCUUUGGUCGUAUGCUGACAGCGUGGA
RNAcentral lists this ribozyme (107 nucleotides) under Aedes aegypti (yellow fever mosquito). RNAcentral describes it as "drz-agam-1 ribozyme". It matches the Rfam family "drz-agam-1 ribozyme". The record is from Rfam by way of RNAcentral. Lineage: Eukaryota; Metazoa; Arthropoda; Insecta; Diptera; Culicidae.